RNAcentral lists this ribosomal RNA (253 nucleotides) under uncultured bacterium. Its description in RNAcentral is "partial 16S ribosomal RNA". It matches the Rfam family "Bacterial small subunit ribosomal RNA", at positions 524 to 776 of the family's 1533-position model. The record is from RNAcentral.
UACGGAGGGGGCUAGCGUUGUUCGGAAUUACUGGGCGUAAAGCGCACGUAGGCGGCUUUGCAAGUCAGAGGUGAAAGCCCGGGGCUCAACCCCGGAAUUGCCUUUGAGACUGCAUCGCUAGAAUUGUGGAGAGGUAAGUGGAAUUCCGAGUGUAGAGGUGAAAUUCGUAGAUAUUCGGAAGAACACCAGUGGCGAAGGCGGCUCUCUAGUACGGUACUGACGCUGAGACGCGAAAGCGUGGGGAGCGAACAGG